RNAcentral lists this ribosomal RNA (371 nucleotides) under uncultured bacterium. Its description in RNAcentral is "bacterial SSU rRNA". It matches the Rfam family "Bacterial small subunit ribosomal RNA", at positions 29 to 416 of the family's 1533-position model. The record is from RNAcentral.
AACGAACGCUGGCGGCAUGCCUAACACAUGCAAGUCGAACGGGAUCCAGCCUUCGGGUUGGUGAGAGUGGCGGACGGGUGAGUAACGCGUGGGAACCUGCCCAUUGGUCUGGGAUAACUGCGGGAAACUGCAGCUAAAUACCGGAUGUACCCGAGAGGGGAAAGAUUUAUCGCCGAUGGAGGGCCCGCGUCAGAUUAGGUAGUUGGUGAGGUAACGGCUCACCAAGCCUACGAUCUGUAGCUGGUCUGAGAGGAUGAUCAGCCACACUGGGACUGAGAUACGGCCCAGACUCCUACGGGAGGCAGCAGUGGGGAAUAUUGGACAAUGGGGGCAACCCUGAUCCAGCCAAUGCCGCGUGAGUGAUGAAGGCC